AUUGAACGCUGGCGGCAUGCCUUACACAUGCAAGUCGAACGGCAGCACGGGAGCAAUCCUGGUGGCGAGUGGCGAACGGGUGAGUAAAGUAUCGGAACGUGCCCAGUCGUGGGGGAUAACGUAGCGAAAGUUACGGUAAUACCGCAUACGAUCUACGGAUGAAAGCGGGGGAUCGCAAGACCUCGCGCGAUUGGCGCGGCCGAUAUCAGAUUAGGUAGUUGGUGGGGUAAAGGCUCACCAAGCCGACGAUCUGUAGCUGGUCUGAGAGGACGACCAGCCACCCUGGGCAUGGGACACGGCCCAGACUCGUACGGAAGGCAGCGGUGGGGAGUUGUGGACAAUGGGCGCAAGCCUGAAUCAGCCAUGCCGCGUGCAGGAUGAAGGCCUUCGGGUUGUAAGCUGCUUUUGUACGGAACGAAAAGGUUUGGCUUAAUACGUUGAACUCAUGACGGUACCGUAAGAAUAAGCACCGGCUAACUACGUGCCAGCAGCCGCCGUAA
This 500-nucleotide ribosomal RNA is filed under the name uncultured bacterium. RNAcentral's name for it is "partial 16S ribosomal RNA". It matches the Rfam family "Bacterial small subunit ribosomal RNA", at positions 30 to 523 of the family's 1533-position model. The record is from RNAcentral.